Molecule: non-coding RNA, 107 nt
Organism: Phaseolus vulgaris (common bean)
Lineage: Eukaryota; Viridiplantae; Streptophyta; Magnoliopsida; Fabales; Fabaceae
Source: Rfam
UGAUGAAGGCAGCAUGGUUGUGUGCACGAAAAUUGAUAUUUUAGGUCAAUUUGUCUGCUCUCUUUGAAGAAAACAAUGAUGAGAGGGCCUGGUUGCGACCUACAUUU